UAAUACGAACUGUGCGAACGUUAUUCGGAAUCACUGGGCUUACAGGGUGCGUAGGCGGCUUGUCAAGUAGGGUGUGAAAGCCCCCGGCUUAACCGGGGAAUUGCGCCCUAAACUGGCGAGCUGGAGUGAGAUAGGGGUGUGUGGAACUUCCGGUGGAGCGGUGAAAUGUGUUGAUAUCGGAAGGAACGCCGGUGGCGAAAGCGACACACUGGAUCUUGUCUGACGCUGAGGCACGAAAGCCAGGGGAGCGAACG
RNAcentral lists this ribosomal RNA (254 nucleotides) under uncultured prokaryote. RNAcentral describes it as "partial 16S ribosomal RNA". It matches the Rfam family "Bacterial small subunit ribosomal RNA", at positions 521 to 774 of the family's 1533-position model. The record is from RNAcentral.